UUUGAAGAGAGAGUUCAAGAGUANGUGAANCCGUUCAGGGGUAAACGGGAGAAAUCCUGAAUUCGAAAGGGGCCGGAUUCAAGUCCAUCCUGAUUGCUCAGGCCGCUCGGCCCCGCCAGAUGGUGCCGGUCGCCCGCGGCGAUUCACUUCGCUUGCGGUGUCGUUCCCGGUGCCCACUCGGUGGGGUAGCGUCGCUCUGGCGUCGGAGGAGUGCACUUCCACCCUAGUAGAAACGUCGCGACCCGUUGGGUGCCGGUCUAAGGCCCGGGAUGGCAGACCACGUGUCCUGCGGGGGUUCUCGCAGGCGCGCGGACUCCUGGUGACCCGGCCGGCUGCCCGACGGUAAGACCAGAGGGGUCGAUCCGCUACUUGCGAAACACUUUGGCUGUGUAGCGUCCGGCCCGGCGCCGACGCGUGCGGGGAUGAGGCGCAAGCCCCGGGUGCCCGUGCGAAGCACGGCCCCGGCCCCGUCGCGUUGUCGGAUCCGCCGGUGUCCUCGGACUGGAUCGCGACCCCCGUCUGCGACGCCCACCUUCGGAUGGUCUCCCGAC
Molecule: ribosomal RNA, 551 nt
Filed under: Parastratocles fuscomarginatus
Lineage: Eukaryota; Metazoa; Arthropoda; Insecta; Phasmatodea; Pseudophasmatidae
Description: partial large subunit ribosomal RNA
Source: RNAcentral